AAGUUUUUAUUUGAAGGUAACAAAAGUAAUCUCUUCCCGUCUAAUACAAAAGCUUCUCCUCACCCUUCAGCUUUCUAAGUCUAUUUCUCCUCAAUGCUCACCCUUCAGCUUCUUUGAAUCUUUUUGUCCUCAUGCUCCAUCUUCUCCUCUCUGAUCACCAGGUAAUCUUCAUUUUGAGCAAGCACUUUUUCAAUGAGAAUUGUAUCUCCUGCAACAAGAUUGAUAUUCUUCAACAUAUGUGCUCCAUCCACGCAGAAGCACUUUCCAUUUCUCAGUUGUUUCAACUGUUAGAUGCAUAGGCAAAUUUACUUGUUGAUUUUGCUCCCCGGCCUAUAGAU
This 338-nucleotide long non-coding RNA is filed under the name Capsicum annuum. RNAcentral describes it as "long non-coding RNA (CANN_LNC006620)". The record is from RNAcentral. Lineage: Eukaryota; Viridiplantae; Streptophyta; Magnoliopsida; Solanales; Solanaceae.